Molecule: ribosomal RNA, 445 nt
Filed under: uncultured bacterium
Lineage: Bacteria
Description: partial 16S ribosomal RNA
Rfam family: Bacterial small subunit ribosomal RNA
Source: RNAcentral
GUGAGGAAUAUUGGACAAUGGAUGGAAAUCUGAUCCAGCCAUGCCGCGUGCAGGAAGACGGCCCUAUGGGUUGUAAACUGCUUUUAUACGGGAGCAAUAAGGUCUAUGCAUAGAUUGAUGAGAGUACCGUAUGAAUAAGCAUCGGCUAACUCCGUGCCAGCAGCCGCGGUAAUACGGAGGAUGCGAGCGUUAUCCGGAUUUAUUGGGUUUAAAGGGUGCGUAAGCGGCUUUGUAAGUCAGCGGUGAAAUUUUGCAGCUUAACUAUAAAAGCGCCGUUGAUACUGUGAAGCUAGGAUUUGGUUGCUGUGGGCGGAAUGUGUGGUGUAGCGGUGAAAUGCAUAGAGAUCACACAGAAUAUCGAUUGCGAAGGCAGCUCACAAAGCCAAUAUUGACGCUGAGGCACGAAAGUGUGGGGAUCAAACAGGAUUAGAAACCCCAGUAGUCC